Molecule: ribosomal RNA, 424 nt
Filed under: uncultured bacterium
Lineage: Bacteria
Description: bacterial SSU rRNA
Rfam family: Bacterial small subunit ribosomal RNA
Source: RNAcentral
UGGGGAAUCUUGCACAAUGGGGGAAACCCUGAUGCAGCGACGCCGCGUGAGCGAUGAAGCCCUUCGGGGUGUAAAGCUCUUUCGGCAGGGACGAUAAUGACGGUACCUGCAGAAGCAGCUGCGGCUAACUACGUGCCAGCAGCCGCGGUAAUACGUAGGCAGCGAGCGUUGUUCGGAGUUACUGGGCGUAAAGGGUGUGUAGGCGGUCCUGUAAGUCUGGUGUGAAAUCUCCCGGCUCAACUGGGAGGGUGCGCCGGAAACUGCAGGGCUAGAGUGCGGGAUGGGAGAGUAGAAUUCCUGGUGUAGCGGUGAAAUGCGUAGAUAUCAGGAGGAAUACCUGUGGUGUAGACGGCUCUCUGGACCGCGACUGACGCUGAGACACGAAAGCGUGGGUAGCAAACAGGAUUAGAUACCCCCGUAGUCC